This 301-nucleotide ribosomal RNA is filed under the name uncultured bacterium. Its description in RNAcentral is "partial 16S ribosomal RNA". It matches the Rfam family "Bacterial small subunit ribosomal RNA", at positions 509 to 807 of the family's 1533-position model. The record is from RNAcentral.
CAGCAGCCGCGGUAAAACGUAGGGUGCGAGCGUUGUCCGGAAUUACUGGGCGUAAAGAGCUCGUAGGCGGUUUGUCGCGUCGUCUGUGAAAUUCUGCAACUCAAUUGCAGGCGUGCAGGCGAUACGGGCAGACUUGAGUACUACAGGGGAGACUGGAAUUCCUGGUGUAGCGGUGAAAUGCGCAGAUAUCAGGAGGAACACCGGUGGCGAAGGCGGGUCUCUGGGUAGUAACUGACGCUGAGGAGCGAAAGCGUGGGGAGCGAACAGGAUUAGAUACCCCAGUAGUCCCUGUCUCUUAUAC